GGAGCUGGAGCAUCCCUGCAAGGGAUGCUUGCAUGGCAUGGUUUGCCAGAGAGAUGUCUGGGACCACGGCACAUAAACACAGUGGGCACAUGGGGACCUGCUGGGCACAGACCUGUCCCUGCGGCUCAAACCGGAGCCCAGCCUCUCAGUAGCAAACUUAAAAAAAGAAAAAUCCACUUCAAAUCCAUAAAUACCAUGAAAUUCAAACCACCGCCUGACUGAAGCUGUAGCAAAGUGACAGUAAAGGUGACACCUCAGGGUCCUGUAAUUAUUCAGCUGGUGAUUUCCACGUCCAAUCUGCCUGCUUUGCAAGGCAAAGAGUAUUUUUCCAGCAUCUUGCUUCCUGCAUUUUAACCUGCCCAUGAAAAACUGAGAUCCUUUAUUCUCACUUAUACUUCUUCACCAGCCAGAUCCGCGCCAGAAGCCAGCGUAAGUGACAAUUGCAUUGCAGAUGCAGCAGGAGCCCAGCAUGGAGUUCGCUUGGCACACACCGGUCCUGCUUCUGCUCGCAGCGUCAGGAAUAAUGGCAGCAGCAAGGGGAAAGCUCAGGCCCAUACUUGUCUUUGUGCAACUCAAAGCAGCAGGUUUUUCCUCAAAAAAGAAGCAAUGAUACCUGGAAAGCAGUUGUAGAUGCAUGUCCAGGAGGACACAUGGUGUUUAAGGCCCCUUCCAACCUGAGCCAUUCAGUGAUUCAGUGCUGCAGGCCCGUCUUCAGCAGUUAAUCACCCAGAUUUUCUCCCGAAGAUCUUAAAAUUUAAAUCUUAAAUAGCAUGUGCUGCAGUGCUUUGCCAUGAUGGAGACUUCUCAUCUUAAUUAAAAAAUGAUAAUAAUAAUUUUUUUAUGAAGUAGGACAAAAAAAAGCCAGGGGAAGGUACCCAGCUCCAGUUUGCAGCAUGUCCCAGGAGUGCUGCGGAGCUCCGCUGGUGCUCAGGGCACUCGGAGGAAAACCCUCCUGGCUGCCAGGCACCAGAAAUACCAGGGAGGUCCCCUGGGCAGUAACGUAUGUGGUGUUCAAAAAAAAAUUAUUUUUACCAUUUUGUUUCCUUUUUUUCCCAGUUGUGUACAGCCUUCGUUACUCUUUAACGACAGAUGCCAGGCAAGGCCGAUGCGCGUCCCUCUCCAGGUGAGGUGGUGCAGAGCUGGCGGCUCUCGGCUGUCUCGGUGUCCUUAUGCCCUUAGUGCUGGUCCCCACCAGCCCGGGGCUGCUCCAGUUCCACUGCCAGAGUCCCAGGAGGGAGGAUGAAAAUAUCCACGGAUGCCCAGGGGACGAUGAGUUGCUGGCUCUUUGGCUGCCACUGAAUGAACCGGGAAACCUGCACUGCCGAGGAGAGCUGGUUUUGUUUCGCCUGGCCGUGCUGCCUUCGUGGAGCCCGAGCUUCGCACGUACACAACCUGUAAAAGCUUUCAACAGCCUCAUCUGGUGCAGUGCCACUGAGCUGCGCACGGAAAAGAACAGGCCUUGAGGCACAGCCUGUUGUCUGAGGGUAUUUUGGUCCCUCACCCCAUACCUCGUGUGCUGUAGAAAAGAAGGUAACAGGCAGUUUUCAUCAAAGCUCUUCCUUCAGAAGAGUUUUAAUAAAACCUGAC
Long non-coding RNA from Oxyura jamaicensis (ruddy duck), 1587 nucleotides. RefSeq lists it as uncharacterized. The transcript has 3 exons. The record is from RefSeq and is a predicted model, not a curated record. NCBI's taxonomy places the organism in Eukaryota, Metazoa, Chordata, Aves, Anseriformes, Anatidae.